This 255-nucleotide ribosomal RNA is filed under the name uncultured bacterium. RNAcentral's name for it is "partial 16S ribosomal RNA". The record is from RNAcentral.
CUGCUGCCUUCCGUAGGAGUUUGGGCCGUGUCUCAGUCCCAAUGUGGCCGGCCACCCUCUCAGGUCGGCUACUGAUCGUCGCCUUGGUGGGCCGUUACCUCACCAACCAGCUAAUCAGACGCGGAUCCAUCCCAUACCACCGGAGUUUUUCACACCGGACCAUGCGGUCCUGUGCGCUUAUGCGGUAUUAGCAGUCAUUUCUAACUGUUAUCCCCCUGUAUGAGGCAGGUUAUCCACGCGUUACUCACCCGUCCG